UCCGGUUGAUCCUGCCGGACCCCACUGCUAUCGGGGUGGGACUAAGACAUGCUAGUCGUGCGCCUCCAAGCCACGGUGGAGGCGCGGCGCACAGCUCAGUAACACGUGGCUAACCUACCCUUGGGACAGGGACAACUCCGGGAAACUGGGGCUAAUCCCCGAUAGGUGAGGACUCCUGGAAUGGGUCCUCGCUGAAAGGGCGUCUAGACCAUGCUUCUAGACGCUGCCCAAGGAUGGGGCCGCGGCCGAUCAGGUUGUUGGUGAGGUAACGGCUCACCAAGCCUAAGACCGGUACGGGCCGUGAGAGCGGGAGCCCGGAGAUGGACACUGAGACAAGGGUCCAGGCCCUACGGGGCGCAGCAGUCGCGAAACCUCCGCAAUACGCGAAAGCGUGACGGGGCCACCCCGAGUGCCGUCCGCUGAGGACGGCUUUUCCCCAGUGUAGACAGCUGGGGGAAUAAGGGGAGGGCAAGUCGGGUGUCAGCCGCCGCGGUAAUACCCGCUCCCCGAGUGGUGGGGACGCUUAUUGGGCCUAAAGCAUCCGUAGCCGGCUGGACAAGUCCCCUGUUAAAUCCAGCGAUUUAAUCGCUGGACUGCGGGGGAUACUGUCCAGCUAGGGGGCGGGAGAGGCCGGCGGUAUUCCCGGGGUAGGGGUGAAAUCUUAUAAUCCCGGGAGGACCACCAGUGGCGAAGGCUGCCGGCUGGAACGCGCCCGACGGUGAGGGAUGAAAGCUGGGGGAGCGAACCGGAUUAGAUACCCGGGUAGUCCCAGCUGUAAACGAUGCGGGCUAGGUGUUGGCACGGCUACAAGCCGUGUCAGUGCCGCAGGGAAGCCGUUAAGCCCGCCGCCUGGGGAGUACGGCCGCAAGGCUGAAACUUAAAGGAAUUGGCGGGGGAGCACCACAAGGGGUGAAGCUUGCGGUUUAAUUGGAGUCAACGCCGGG
Molecule: ribosomal RNA, 944 nt
Filed under: uncultured archaeon
Lineage: Archaea
Description: bacterial SSU rRNA
Rfam family: Archaeal small subunit ribosomal RNA
Source: RNAcentral